Molecule: unclassified non-coding RNA, 425 nt
Filed under: soil metagenome
Description: partial contains 5.8S ribosomal RNA, internal transcribed spacer 2, and large subunit ribosomal RNA
Rfam family: 5.8S ribosomal RNA (bases 1-120)
Source: RNAcentral
GAUGAAGAACGUAGCGAAAUGCGAUAAGUAGUGUGAAUUGCAGAAUUCCGUGAAUCAUCGAAUCUUUGAACGCACAUUGCGCCUUCUGGUAUUCCGGAAGGCAUGCCUGUUCGAGAGUCAUUAACAACCGUUUCGAUCCCUUCCUUUCAGAAAUUACAAAGAGGAAAAGGGUUUGGUUAUGGUGGAGGAGGGAAAGGGAGCGUUUAGCCUGUAAAAAAAGAGGCUGUGUUCCGCCUCCCCCCCAAAAUUGUACAGGCGGUCGUGUGCGCCCACGCAUCGAGGUGUUGUAAAAGCUGCCACGGCACUUUUCACCUGUGCAGUGCGAGAUUGGCCAGCCGGUUUAAAAACCCCUCCAAACAAUCAAAGGUUGACCUCGGAUCAGGUAGGGAUACCCGCUGAACUUAAGCAUAUCAAUAAGCGGAGGA